GGAUUGUAUCUUGUGGUAUAGAAUUAUUUAUUAUUAUUUUUUUUGUGGGGUUUCGUUUUAAUUUUCUCCACCUUCUUCUUCUGUACACGGUUAAUUGCAUUAUUAGGUUGCAAAUGCAGCCUUUUUUCAUUUCUUUUUCUUGUUUUUUUGUUAUCUUCAUUUUUACUAUUUAUUAUAAAAUUUUCGAUUGUGACAUUGAUCUAAUAAUUAGUGUAAUUAAUUUAGGAGGUCAAUGUUGUUUUUCUGCUUUUAUCGUUUCCUCCCUUGUAUUUUGAUAUACACAAUACACUCC
This 292-nucleotide long non-coding RNA is filed under the name Vigna radiata. Its description in RNAcentral is "long non-coding RNA (VRAD_LNC003270)". The record is from RNAcentral. Lineage: Eukaryota; Viridiplantae; Streptophyta; Magnoliopsida; Fabales; Fabaceae.